UGAGGAAUAUUGGACAAUGGGCGGGAGCCUGAUCCAGCCAUGCCGCGUGCAGGAAGACUGCCCUAUGGGUUGUAAACUGCUUUUAUACGGGAAGAAUAAGUGUUACGUGUAGCACGAUGACGGUACCGUAAGAAUAAGCACCGGCUAACUCCGUGCCAGCAGCCGCGGUAAUACGGAGGGUGCAAGCGUUAUCCGGAAUCAUUGGGUUUAAAGGGUCCGUAGGUGGACUAAUAAGUCAGUGGUGAAAGUCUGCAGCUUAACUGUAGAAUUGCCAUUGAUACUGUUAGUCUUGAAUUGUUGUGAAGUAACUAGAAUAUGUAGUGUAGCGGUGAAAUGCAUAGAUAUUACAUAGAAUACCGAUUGCGAAGGCAGGUUACUAACAAUAUAUUGACACUGAUGGACGAAAGCGUGGGGAGCGAACAGG
RNAcentral lists this ribosomal RNA (424 nucleotides) under uncultured bacterium. RNAcentral describes it as "bacterial SSU rRNA". It matches the Rfam family "Bacterial small subunit ribosomal RNA", at positions 355 to 776 of the family's 1533-position model. The record is from RNAcentral.